GAUGAACGCUGACAGAAUGCUUAACACAUGCCAGUCUUUGGCGAAGCUGUGCUUGCACAGCCUAGCCAAGGCGGACGGGUGAGUAACGCGUAAGGAACUUGCCCUGCAGUCAGGGAUAACAGACGGAAACGACUGAUAAGACCUGGUAAAGUCAGGCGGACUCAUGUCCAGCCUGAUGAAAAGAGAUGCUGCAGGAGAGCCUUGCGUCCUAUUAGCUUGUUGGUGGGGUAACGGCCCACCAAGGCGAUGACAGGUAGCCGGCCUGAGAGGGUGGACGGCCACAAGGGGACUGAGAUACGGCCCUUACUCCUACGGGAGGCAGCAGUGGGGAAUAUUGGACAAUGGGGGCAACCCUGAUCCAGCAAUUCUGUGUGCACGAUGAAGGUUUUCGGAGUGUAAAGUGCUUUCAGCAGGGAAGAAAAAAAUGACGGUACCUGCAGAAGAAGCGACGGCUAAAUACGUG
This 463-nucleotide ribosomal RNA is filed under the name uncultured bacterium. RNAcentral's name for it is "partial 16S ribosomal RNA". It matches the Rfam family "Bacterial small subunit ribosomal RNA", at positions 28 to 507 of the family's 1533-position model. The record is from RNAcentral.